Long non-coding RNA from Homalodisca vitripennis (glassy-winged sharpshooter), 726 nucleotides. RefSeq lists it as uncharacterized. Lineage: Eukaryota; Metazoa; Arthropoda; Insecta; Hemiptera; Cicadellidae. The transcript is spliced from 2 exons. The record is from RefSeq and is a predicted model, not a curated record.
UUUUUACAAAGUAGUUACUUCUUCUUACACCACUACAUAACCUAGAAUGAAGUAAUGUAACGCCCAAAAGUAUCACCGUAGUUUGCAAGAUUACACAAUCUAAGGUGCUACACAGAAAAGUCAUCGUGCACCUGACUUCAGGAACAGCGCGAUCGUGUGUUUUAUAUUUCCAAUCGAGGCUGAGAUCAAGUAAUGUACCAUCCAAAGGUAUCACCGUAGUUUGCAAGAUCUCGAACACAAAAAUGUUGGAUAGAGAUAGCCAUUUCAAAUACAUUCAACAAGUCACUGAAACUCUCAGGUAAAAAUCUUUCCGUUGAAUAAAAUGAACUUGCCAAGUACAACUCAAACAGUACAAAGUAUGUUUUACUUUUUAUAUCUGAUAUUGGAAGUAAAAUUGCUUUAAUAAAACAAUGCUAUAAUGGUAAAAUAGGCUAUAACUUUUAAUAAUUAUUUGAAUGGCGAAACAUGUAAAACAUACAAAUGAAAAUAAAAUUUGUUGUAACUUUGGAAUAGGUACAUAAGUUGUAGUUUUAUGAUUUAUAUUUAUUUGUAUGCACAUUUUAUUGUUCCUUUUGUACAUAGGCCAACAUACCAAAUUUGAAAAAGUAAUUAUUUGUAUAGCUGAGUUUGGAUUUCUUUUAAAACCGAGUUUUAUUUUUCUUAUAUUUGGUAUUUGUGUAGUGUUCCACAUAACAAUGCGCAAUUUAAAAAAAUAACUUAAAGGAA